This 246-nucleotide ribosomal RNA is filed under the name uncultured bacterium. RNAcentral's name for it is "partial 16S ribosomal RNA". It matches the Rfam family "Bacterial small subunit ribosomal RNA", at positions 1257 to 1500 of the family's 1533-position model. The record is from RNAcentral.
GCGAGUGCAAGCAAAUCCCAGAAAUAAGUCUCAGUUCGGAUUGUAGUCUGCAACUCGACUACAUGAAGCUGGAAUCGCUAGUAAUCGCGAAUCAGAAUGUCGCGGUGAAUACGUUCCCGGGUCUUGUACACACCGCCCGUCACACCAUGGGAGUCAGUAACGCCCGAAGUCAGUGACCCAACCCUAACCCGGAGGGAGCUGCCGAAGGCGGGACCGAUAACUGGGGUGAAGUCGUAACAAGGUAAC